GCAUAUCAUAGCGGAGGAAAAGAAUCACAGGGAUUGCCUCAGUAACGGCGAGUGAAGCGGCAACAGCUCAAAUUUGAAAUCUGGCCCCCUCUGGGGGUCCGAGUUGUAAUUUGCAGAGGGUGCUUUGGCAUGGGCGGCGGUCUAAGUUCCUUGGAACAGGACAUCGCAGAGGGUGAGAAUCCCGUAUGUGGGCGCCUGCCUUUGCCGUGUAAAGCCCCUUCGACGAGUCGAGUUGUUUGGGAAUGCAGCUCUAAAUGGGAGGUAAAUUUCUUCUAAAGCUAAAUACCGGCCAGAGACCGAUAGCGCACAAGUAGAGUGAUCGAAAGAUGAAAAGUACUUUGGAAAGAGAGUCAAAUAGCACGUGAAAUUGUUGAAAGGGAAGCGCUUGCAGCCAGACGUGCCCGCAGUUGCUCACCCCGGCUCUUGCCUGGGGCACUCUUCUGCGGGCAGGCCAGCAUCAGUUUGGGCGGUCGGAUAAAGGCCUCUGUCAAGUAUCUUCCUCCGGGAUGACCUUAUAGGGGAGGCGCAAUGCGGCCAGCCCGGACUGAGGUCCGCGCAUUUUUGCUAGGAUGCUGGCGUAAUGGCUGUAAGCGGCCCGUCUUGAAACACGGACCAAGGAGUCUAACAUCUAUGCGAGUGUUUGGGUGUCAAGCCCGGGCGCGUAAUGAAAGUGAACGGAGGUGGGAACCCUUCGGGGUGCACCAUCGACCGAUCCUGAUGUCUUCGGAUGGAUUUGAGUAAGAGCAUAGCUGUUGGGACCCGAAAGAUGGUGAACUAUGCUUGAAUAGGGUGAAGCCAGAGGAAACUCUGGUGGAGGCUCGCAGCGGUUCUGACGUGCAAAUCGAUCGUCAAAUUUGGGCAUAGGGGCGAAAGACUAAAUCGAACCAUCUAGUAGCUGGGUCUGCGAG
RNAcentral lists this ribosomal RNA (908 nucleotides) under Montagnula aloes. RNAcentral's name for it is "LSU rRNA". It matches the Rfam family "Eukaryotic large subunit ribosomal RNA", at positions 38 to 963 of the family's 3401-position model. The record is from RNAcentral. Lineage: Eukaryota; Fungi; Ascomycota; Dothideomycetes; Pleosporales; Didymosphaeriaceae.